UAAGUCUUAUAUAAAAAAUACAUUUAAAUAUAUCGUAUUUUGUUAUAACUAACGUUAACGUGUGCUAGCUGCUAUGGUCAGUGCCAAAGCGAGAUUAACAACAUUGUUUGAAUCACUAUAUAAACAACUUCGAGCAAACACAAAUGACCAACAAUCACUAAUAGAGUGCACGCAAACAAUUUCCACCAAAAAACACAACAGCAACAUACACAGAGAUAAGGGUUUUGAGGGUAUUGGUUCUUUAAUUUUUGGGAAUUCUUUUGAUGUUUGGAGUUCGGUAGAGUGAGAAGAACUUUUAGGUUGUUUAGUUGGUGGUUUGGGAUGCAUUUAGUUAGUGACAGAAACAAGCUUUGGGUUUAGAUUCGCAAAUUUUGGUGAGCAUUUUGAAAUAUCCAACUUGAAAACUAGGUUGAGGGGGUAAAAAAGAAAGAAUUUGGUGGUUUUCAACACUUUUACGGUAACCAGUGACAGCGGUCUCCGACGACGAACGACGAUAGCAUGAUGAUGCAAUGUCAAACUCUGGAGAGGAAGAAUUUUCUGGUGAUGUAUUCUUUAGCUAGAGAGAAGUAAGGGUGAUAUGUAUCAGAUCGGUUUGGGUUUUCAAUUUUCUUAUCCGAUCCGACCUAUUCGGGUUUUUUAUUUUCUGAUCCAUAUUUGAUCAGAAAUAUCCAAAUGAAACCGAUUUGUAUAAAUUUGGUUUAGAUCGGAUAAAUUAUUUAGAUUUUUUACUUUAAACUAUUUUACCCAAACUAUCGACAUUGGCAUCCUUUUCAGUUAAGAUAACCCUAUUCUUGGAAUUGGUGUAGAUAAAUAUUCCAGAAACCGUGACUCUGUGAUGCGUAAGAUGAGACUUGAGAGGCCGAAGGGACAAGACAAUUUGAAGUUUAAACUAAAAAAAUACAGCUUUGAGAGCAAAUGUUGAGCAACGCUAGAUUUGAACACUAGUAAUAGGGUUAAAAAGGUGGUAAAUUGUGAGAGGUAGAGAACGGCAUGAAGAGAGACUGAGAGAGUAAGAGAGGACGAGUAGUGUUAAUUUUAAGAUUUUACAGUCAAAUGUGGUGAAACGUCGACAAAUUAAAAAGUAAAAAUGUCAAAAAUGAAUUAUUGUUAUUCUUUUAAUUUUGAAAAGAUAACAAGUAGGCAUUGGAUAAUGAAGUAUAAGAGGGUUGGAUAGUGGGCUUAAAGCAUUUAAAAUUAAAUGGUAUAUUUGGGUUUGGACUUCAUAUAUCAAAUAAUUUAAAACUUAAUUUUUUGAG
Molecule: long non-coding RNA, 1256 nt
Filed under: Durio zibethinus
Lineage: Eukaryota; Viridiplantae; Streptophyta; Magnoliopsida; Malvales; Malvaceae
Description: long non-coding RNA (DZIB_LNC001466)
Source: RNAcentral